CAUGAAGUCGGAAUUGCUAGUAAUCGUAGAUCAGCAUGCUACGGUGAAUACGUUCCCGGGCCUUGUACACACCGCCCGUCAAACCAUGAGAGUUGGCAACACCCGAAGCCUGUGAGCUAACUUUUAGAGGCAGCAGUCGAAGGUAGAAUCAAUGAUUGGGGUGAAGUCGUAACAAGGUAUC
RNAcentral lists this ribosomal RNA (181 nucleotides) under uncultured bacterium. Its description in RNAcentral is "partial 16S ribosomal RNA". It matches the Rfam family "Bacterial small subunit ribosomal RNA", at positions 1319 to 1500 of the family's 1533-position model. The record is from RNAcentral.